CAGUAGCCGCGGUAAUACAGAGGGUGCGAGCGUUAAUCGGAUUUACUGGGCGUAAAGCGUGCGUAGGCGGCUUCUUAAGUCGGAUGUGAAAUCCAUGAGCUUAACUUAGGAAUUGCAUUCGAUACUGGGAAGCUAGAGUAUGGGAGAGGAUGGUAGAAUUCCAGGUGUAGCGGUGAAAUGCGUAGAGAUCUGGAGGAAUACCGAUGGCGAAGGCAGCCAUCUGGCCUAAUACUGACGCUGAGGUACGAAAGCAUGGGGAGCAAACAGGAUUAGAUACCCCAGUAGUCCCUGUCUCUUAUAC
This 301-nucleotide ribosomal RNA is filed under the name uncultured bacterium. Its description in RNAcentral is "partial 16S ribosomal RNA". It matches the Rfam family "Bacterial small subunit ribosomal RNA", at positions 509 to 807 of the family's 1533-position model. The record is from RNAcentral.